Molecule: long non-coding RNA, 366 nt
Organism: Amphimedon queenslandica
Lineage: Eukaryota; Metazoa; Porifera; Demospongiae; Haplosclerida; Niphatidae
Exons: 4
Source: RefSeq, a predicted model, not a curated record
UCUAAGCAUAUUAGUAUCGAAGCAAGAAAACCUUCAGAGAGAAAAGAGGCAGAUUCCAGUGAAAGAAUUCUUUGUCAUAGCCCUCCACCACUUCCACCACCACUUGCACUGGUGGAGCUUAAAACUCAAGCUGCAUGUAGUACAGAAACAGAGGUUAUAUACUGUCUCUAAUUAGAAGAAUGGAAAUUUUAGAAGAACAGAGUAUCAUGGUGCCAUCCCAAUUGGGUUGCUUAACAUACCAUUUCUUUGGAAAUACUAGCCCGGCAUGAACACAAGGGCAGGUACUCUGCUACAUACAUGAACAGUAAUGGAAGUACUCCUAGUGCCCCAUCUGCUUGUAAUCUACCUCAGCAUACUGAUCAAGUA